UAACAAGAUUCCCCUAGUAACUGCGAGUGAAGCGGGAAAAGCUCAAAUUUAAAAUCUGGCGGUCUUUGGCCGUCCGAGUUGUAGUCUGGAGAAGCGUCUUCCGCGUUGGACCGUGUACAAGUCUCUUGGAACAGAGCGUCAUAGAGGGUGAGAAUCCCGUCUUUGACACGGACUACCAAUGCUUUGUGAUGCGCUCUCAAAGAGUCGCGUUGUUUGGGAAUGCAGCGCAAAAUGGGAGGUGAAUUCCUUCUAAAGCUAAAUAUUGGCGAGAGACCGAUAGCGAACAAGUACCGUGAGGGAAAGAUGAAAAGCACUUUGGAAAGAGAGUUAAACAGUACGUGAAAUUGCUAAAAGGGAAACGCUUGAAGUCAGUCGCAUCGUCCGGAACUCAGCCUUGCUUCGGCUUGGUGCAUUUUCCGGUUGAUGGGCCAGCAUCGAUUUUGACCGCUGAAAAGGGCUGGAGGAAUGUGGCACCCUCGGGUGUGUUAUAGCCUUCAGUCGCAUACAGCGGUUGGGAUCGAGGAACGCAGCGCGCCUUAUGGCUGGGGUUCGCCCACAUUCGCGCUUAGGAUGCUGGCAUAAUGGCUUUAAACGACCCGUCUUGAAACACGGACCAAGGAGUCUAACAUGCCUGCGAGUGUUUGGGUGGAAAACCCGAGCGCGUAAUGAAAGUGAAAGUUGAGACCUCUGUCGUGGAGGGCAUCGACGCCCGGACCUGACGUUUUCUGAAGGAUCCGCGGUAGAGCAUGUAUGUUGGGACCCGAAAGAUGGUGACCUAUGCCUGAAUAGGGUGAAGCCAGAGGAAACUCUGGUGGAGGCUCGUAGCGAUUCUGACGUGCAAAUCGAUCGUCAAAUUUGGGUAUAGGGGCGAAAGACUAAUCGAGCCAU
RNAcentral lists this ribosomal RNA (888 nucleotides) under Trametes suaveolens. RNAcentral describes it as "eukaryotic LSU rRNA". It matches the Rfam family "Eukaryotic large subunit ribosomal RNA", at positions 66 to 943 of the family's 3401-position model. The record is from RNAcentral. Lineage: Eukaryota; Fungi; Basidiomycota; Agaricomycetes; Polyporales; Polyporaceae.